This 280-nucleotide unclassified non-coding RNA is filed under the name uncultured fungus. RNAcentral's name for it is "sequence contains ITS1, 5.8S rRNA gene". The stretch from base 232 to 280 matches the Rfam family "5.8S ribosomal RNA", at positions 1 to 49 of the family's 154-position model. Lineage: Eukaryota; Fungi. The record is from RNAcentral.
UCUCCGUUGGUGAACCAGCGGAGGGAUCAUUAACGAGUUUUUCAAACUCCCAAAACCUUUGUGAACUUACCACUUGUUGCCUCGACAGUUAACUAUCCGGUUGUCUACAGCUUCAUUGCUGUUAGACAGCUUGCCGCUUACCCGGUAACUCUGCGGAUAGUCUGUCGGUGGACUACUUUAAAACUCUUGUUUUUAUAAUGCCAAUCUGAAUUUUUAUACUUAAUAAGUUAAAACUUUCAACAACGGAUCUCUUGGUUCUGGCAUCGAUGAAGAACGCAGC